CGGGGCGUGGCGCAGUCCGGUAGCGCACUAGCAUGGGGGGCUAGGGGUCGCUGGUUCGAAUCCAGUCGCCCCGACCA
This 77-nucleotide transfer RNA is filed under the name Candidatus Effluviviaceae Genus IV sp. Its description in RNAcentral is "tRNA-Pro". It matches the Rfam family "tRNA". From Rfam's summary of the family: Transfer RNA (tRNA) molecules are approximately 80 nucleotides in length. Their secondary structure includes four short double-helical elements and three loops (D, anti-codon, and T loops). Further hydrogen bonds mediate the characteristic L-shaped molecular structure. tRNAs have two regions of fundamental functional importance: the anti-codon, which is responsible for specific mRNA codon recognition, and the 3' end, to which the tRNAs corresponding amino acid is attached (by aminoacyl-tRNA synthetases). tRNAs cope with the degeneracy of the genetic code in two manners: having more than one tRNA (with a specific anti-codon) for a particular amino acid; and 'wobble' base-pairing, i.e. permitting non-standard base-pairing at the 3rd anti-codon position. The record is from RNAcentral. Lineage: Bacteria; Candidatus Effluviviacota; Candidatus Effluviviaceae.